UCCUGGCCAACCACCACAGCGCCAUGACUGGAUGGUCGACUGGCCGCUCACGCCAUGAACACACCUGCAGGAAGAGCAGGGGGUUCAAUUUGAUUGACGGACGUAGCUCCAGUAUACUCCUGAACACUCCUGGACAGACCAGUGUUCUGUGGCUGCAGUGUAGAGUCUGCUGAUGGUGUCUCUGCUUAUCGGCGGCUUCAUGCGUGUGUAGGGUCGGACAGCCGAGGUCACAUCUUUGGCUGACAGUGUUCUUUAAUACAAGUGUUUCCACAUCUGUCACACAGAAACUGAGCUUAUGGAUCAAGUGGACGUCAGGGAGGAGACUUGAGAGCCAAAAGAAGUCAGAGGAACAUCCUGGACAGCGCUGCAAGGACUGCUGGGAGUUCAGUACCUGCAUAUCUUCAUGUGGAGUACUGUGAGAUUGCAUCCUUUAAUAUGUAGAUUAUACACUACCGUUCAGAAGUUUGGGGUCACUUAGAAAUGUCCUGAUUUUUGAGAGAAAAACAUUUUUUUUUUGUCAAUGAAGAUAACAUUAAAUUAAUCAUAAAUCCAGUGUAGACAUUGUUAAUGUGGUAAAUGACUAUUCUAGUUGGAAACAGCUGAUUUUUAAUGGAAUAUCUCCAUAGGGGUACAGAGGAACAUUUCCAGCAACCAUCACUCCUGUGUUCUAAUGCUACAUUGUGUUAGCUAAUGGUGUUGAAAGGCUAAUUGAUGAAUAGAAAACCCUUGUACAGUUAUGUUAGCACAUGAAUAAAAAUGUGAGUUUUCAUGGAAAACAUGAAAUUGUCUGGGUGACCCCAAACUUCUGAACAGUAAUGUAAAUUCUGUUUUAGCUUUAAAAACAGGUUUAUUGCUAUUUGACUUGAUUAUAGAAUCACUCCGACCAGGUUGGAGGAGUUGACAACGCGACUUCAACAAGCAAACAAAUUUGAAGCCAUUCAACUCUCUGACACUUAAAGCUUGUAAUUCAAAUGAAAAACAGAAGUGUGAGGUGCACCCAAUUUGUCCAGGAAAUGUACGUAUUUUAAACUUGUAACAUCUUGACUGUGCUGACAGCUACAGGACACACAUCAGCUUUGGCAACCUUGAGCUACUCUGGAUUCUGAAAUUCGUCUUGUUGACAUCUUUCAUUGUGUUCCCCUUGUGGCAGAAAAUCAAAAGAAUGAGAAAAAGAUUUUAUACAGAUCGGAACUACAUCUAUAUUGUCUUGGCAGCAGUUUUAAUGCAGGUAUUCUGAUCUUCAUUCAAGACAAAACAACAUCCAGAACUUAUUUUUGUGGACAUGAAGCCUGUAACCUGUUUACUAGUCAAUAAAGUAGAUGUUCAAGUUUUAUUGUUGACUUUCUCCUGAUAGAUUUUCUUCACUGGCCUCAUGCUGGGAGUUAUUUUAGAAAUGCAAUAAAUUGAUAAUCACAACGUUGACAGAGACAAACACUGCAUAGAGGGUAUUUAACUGUUUCUUUUGUUUAACAAUACUAUUAUUUUAUAUGUAACAGCUGAAAGCUAAACAGUAAUAUUUGCAGUGUGUCUAUUUCAAUAUGUAUCUGCUUUACUAUAUGUGCACGUGCAGUUUGUGUUCAGAUAACAGACAUCAGCAUACACUUUAAAAAGUGUGUUUAUGGGUGCCUAGAAAGCUCAACUGGUUGAGCGAGCAACGCUAUGCAGUGGCCUGGGUUCAAUUCCAGCUCAUGGUCCUUUACUGCAUGUCUUCCCCUCAUUCUUCUCCCUGCUUUCUUGACUGUGCCUAUCAAACAAAGCCAACAAAAGGCCAAAAAAAGAACCCUUAAAAAUAAAAGUUUGUAUUAUGUCACUGAUGACACCUCUGUGUGUUGUAUUUAUCGCCAUGGCAAUGAC
Amphiprion ocellaris (clown anemonefish) is the source of this 1854-nucleotide long non-coding RNA. NCBI's taxonomy places the organism in Eukaryota, Metazoa, Chordata, Actinopteri, Pomacentridae. The record is from Ensembl.